This 460-nucleotide ribosomal RNA is filed under the name uncultured bacterium. RNAcentral's name for it is "partial 16S ribosomal RNA". It matches the Rfam family "Bacterial small subunit ribosomal RNA", at positions 338 to 795 of the family's 1533-position model. The record is from RNAcentral.
CCUACGGGAGGCAGCAGUGAGGAAUAUUGGUCAAUGGACGAGAGUCUGAACCAGCCAAGUAGCGUGAAGGAUGACUGCCCUAUGGGUUGUAAACUUCUUUUAUAUGGGAAUAAAAUGUUCCACGUGUGGGAGUUUGUAUGUACCAUAUGAAUAAGGAUCGGCUAACUCCGGGCCAGCAGCCGCGGUAAUACGGAGGAUCCGAGCGUUAUCCGGAUUUAUUGGGUUUAAAGGGAGCGUAGGUGGAUUGUUAAGUCAGUUGUGAAAGUUUGCGGCUCAACCGUAAAAUGGCAGUUGAAACUGGCAGUCUUGAGUACAGUAGAGGUGGGCGGAAGUCGUGGUGUAGCGGUGAAAUGCUUAGAUAUCCCGAAGAACUCCGAUUGCGAAGGCAGCUCACUGGACUGCAACUGACACUGAGGCUCGAAAGUGUGGGUAUCAAACAGGAUUAGAUACCCGAGUAGUC